CAUUUUCUAAAUUAAGAUGAUUUGAUAUGUUUAAUAUUAGUGGUCUUAAAAAAAAAUUCAAGAUGUAACCCGUAUUGAAACGGUGGAUUAAUUUUAUUUUACUUUUUUAUUAAUGUUGAUUCAAAAACCCGUCCCUCCAAAUCCGUCUUGCGAAAAAGCCAUUUAUUUUAUUAAUAUUAAUUUUACUUAUGAUAUGACUCUGAAUUAUAAUCUAAACAUUUUAUCUAAUAACAUAGGAGUGCACCAUAUUUAUUUAAUAGGGGAAUGUACCAUAUGACUCGAAUGCACUUUUACCCAAAUCCACCAAAACAGUCUUGCAAAAAUGCUAUAGAGAUAAGAAACGAUAGUCGGUUUUGAUAAAUAUAAGAUUAACAAAUA
Molecule: small RNA, 378 nt
Filed under: Arabidopsis thaliana (thale cress)
Lineage: Eukaryota; Viridiplantae; Streptophyta; Magnoliopsida; Brassicales; Brassicaceae
Description: ATSL149420
Source: RNAcentral